AACCAACAUUUUACCAAUUUUCUUUGCACCAGACAAUACCUGAAGAUUAGCAUGAGUACCGCGUUUGGAGACCCACUCAAAGAAUACAACUUCCUUCUGUCGAUUCUUGUGAUAAAUCUUCAGGCAGUUCUGAAAUCUGUUAAGCUCUG
Molecule: long non-coding RNA, 149 nt
Organism: Rhodamnia argentea
Lineage: Eukaryota; Viridiplantae; Streptophyta; Magnoliopsida; Myrtales; Myrtaceae
Exons: 3
Source: RefSeq, a predicted model, not a curated record